AUUGAACGCUGGCGGCAUGCCUUACACAUGCAAGUCGAACGGCAGCAUGGGUGCUUGCACCUGAUGGCGAGUGGCGAACGGGUGAGUAAUGCAUCGGAACGUACCCGGAAGUGGGGGAUAACGUAGCGAAAGUUACGCCAAUACCGCAUAUUCUGUGAGCAGGAAAGCGGGGGAUCGCAAGACCUCGCGCUUCCGGAGCGGCCGAUGUCGGAUUAGCUAGUUGGCGGGGUAAAGGCCCACCAAGGCAACGAUCCGUAGCGGGUCUGAGAGGAUGAUCCGCCACACUGGGACUGAGACACGGCCCAGACUCCUACGGGAGGCAGCAGUGGGGAAUUUUGGACAAUGGGGGCAACCCUGAUCCAGCCAUGCCGCGUGAGUGAAGAAGGACCUUCGGUUGUAAAGCUCUUUCGGCUGGAAGGAAAUCGCAUCUCCUAAUACGGGGUGUGGAUGACGGUACCAGCAUAAGAAGCACCGGCUAACUACGUGCCAGACG
This 493-nucleotide ribosomal RNA is filed under the name uncultured bacterium. Its description in RNAcentral is "bacterial SSU rRNA". It matches the Rfam family "Bacterial small subunit ribosomal RNA", at positions 29 to 514 of the family's 1533-position model. The record is from RNAcentral.